CAGUACUCGCUGUAAUCUCAUGAUUUCAUUUCCAGCAUAUUUUAUUUGAAUCAGUCUGUAAAACGGAGUGAGUCUCGUAUGCAUAAAAUACAGAGGAUAGGGCCGGUGCCACUGGGCCAUCUUUUCAUUAAUAUCGAGUGAGGGUUUUGUCUAAAUUACCGCUAUGCAUUUCACAGUGCGCCCUUUCAAAGGACGUCUCAAGCGGUCCCCUGAAACGUGAGCGAGACUGUGAAAAAGAAGUCACUUUUCUUCCAAAACAGUGAAGAGAGGGAGAAAAAAUAUAUAUUUUUCAGAUCUUCCGUUUCGAGUUCUGCCUUUCAGAUUUUUCUUCAUUAAAGUGAUGCAAUACUACUUAUUUAUUUGUUUAUUUUGUGAGGUCUCCGCGUUCCCUGCUGUGGGGUUCAUUUGUUUUGUCUGCAGAAACGAAAGGGGAAAAAAUCUCCAAGUAUAACAAGAGACGAACAGUUAGUGCUGAUUUUCAUUUGCAUAAAUUUUCAUAUAUUUUAGUGAAAAUAAUAGCGGAGCCAAGGAGAGCUCCGCUCAGUUGUGUCAGAGGAUAGGAAAAUCUUAGGACGGACCGUUUCGAAGGAGGGCAGGCACAGGACUCCAGUCGUUAAUUAAAGCUAAAUAGAAAAUGAAUACUUGCCGUUUUCCUGAGCAUUCGUGGAUUUACAGAUGAUGCAGCACGGUCCCCUGAUCUCCCUCUCGCCCGAAGCAAGGCCUCCUGGGUAAGGCGGACUCAGCCACCGAGGCGGAGAGUGACCACGGCUCCCCCGCUCCCGCUUCUUCUUCGUCAGUGGAGAAAUAUGCAGUUCUUCUGGAGCAUCGCUGCUGCAGGCUGUUUUCUUUGGGAGACUAUAAAGAUAUGCAAAUGCAGCAGUUAAAAUGAAGGGAAAAGUAGAAAGAAAAAGACUUGCACAUUUUGUAUUUGUCUUCCUGGUAGUGGUGAGAGUUCAUUCUGCAGGAGAUUGCAAGAGUUUACCGUUGACUUAGUUUUAGAGGGUGAGAGAGAGAGAAAGAGAGCGAUAGAGAGAGAGAGACAGAGAGAGACAGAGGCAGAGAGAGAGAACAGCCCAGGUAGAACAGCAGGAAAUUAAAGAUAUUUUCAAAGCCUCAGUUUGCCUCAGCCCCAGAUUUUCUAUUUUUGUUGUGGCCUAGCUCCAAAAGGGGAAUAAAUAAAUAAAUAAAAUAGA
Molecule: long non-coding RNA, 1193 nt
Organism: Anguilla anguilla (European eel)
Lineage: Eukaryota; Metazoa; Chordata; Actinopteri; Anguilliformes; Anguillidae
Exons: 2
Source: RefSeq, a predicted model, not a curated record